RNAcentral lists this ribosomal RNA (274 nucleotides) under uncultured bacterium. RNAcentral's name for it is "partial 16S ribosomal RNA". It matches the Rfam family "Bacterial small subunit ribosomal RNA", at positions 523 to 796 of the family's 1533-position model. The record is from RNAcentral.
AUACAGAGGGUGCGAGCGUUAAUCGGAAUUACUGGGCGUAAAGCGUACGUCGGCGGUUGGUUAAGUUAGAUGUGAAAGCCCCGGGCUUAACCUGGGAACUGCAUUUAAAACUGGCGAACUAGAGUUGAGUAGAGGGGAGUGGAAUUUCAGGUGUAGCGGUGAAAUGCGUAGAGAUCUGAAGGAACACCAGUGGCGAAGGCGACUCCCUGGACUCGAACUGACGCUGAGGUACGAAAGCGUGGGUAGCAAACGGGAUUAGAUACCCUAGUAGUCC